Molecule: ribosomal RNA, 253 nt
Filed under: uncultured bacterium
Lineage: Bacteria
Description: partial 16S ribosomal RNA
Rfam family: Bacterial small subunit ribosomal RNA
Source: RNAcentral
UACGUAGGAUGCAAGCGUUGUCCGGAAUUAUUGGGCGUAAAGAGCGCGCAGGCGGUAUGACAAGUCAGAUGUGAAAGAGGCCGGCUUAACCGGCAAGGGUCAUUUGAAACUGUCAGACUAGAGUGCAGCAGAGGAUAGUGGAAUUCCCGGUGUAGUGGUGAAAUGCGUAGAUAUCGGGAGGAACACCAGUGGCGAAGGCGGCUCACUGGUCCGGUACUGACGCUGAGGUGCGAAAGCGUGGGGAGCAAACAGG